UACGUAGGCAGCGAGCGUUGUUCGGAGUUACUGGGCGUAAAGGGUGUGUAGGCGGUUGUUUAAGGUUGGUGUGAAAUCUCCCGGCUCAACUGGGAGGGUGCGCCGAAUACUGAAUGACUUGGAGUGCGGGAGAGGAGAGUGGAAUUCCUGGUGUAGCGGUGAAAUGCGUAGAUAUCAGGAGGAACACCGGUGGUGUAGACGGCUCUCUGGACCGUAACUGACGCUGAGACACGAAAGCGUGGGUAGCAAACAGG
This 254-nucleotide ribosomal RNA is filed under the name uncultured bacterium. Its description in RNAcentral is "partial 16S ribosomal RNA". It matches the Rfam family "Bacterial small subunit ribosomal RNA", at positions 524 to 776 of the family's 1533-position model. The record is from RNAcentral.